AGCGAACGCUGGCGGCAGGCCUAACACAUGCAAGUCGAACGAACCUUUCGGGGUUAGUGGCGGACGGGUGAGUAACACGUGGGAACGUGCCUUUAGGUUCGGAAUAACUCAGGGAAACUUGUGCUAAUACCGAAUGUGCCCUUCGGGGGAAAGAUUAAUCGCGUUUGGAGCGGCCCGGGUCUGAUUAGCUAGUUGGUUGGGGUAGUGGCUCACCAAGGCGACGAUGGGUAGCUGGUCUGAGAGGAUGAUUGGCCACAUUGGGACGGAGACACGGCCCAGACUCCUACGGGAGGCAGCAGUGGGGAAUAGUGCACAAUGGGCGGAAGCCUGAGGCAGCAACGCCGCGGGAUGGAUGACGGCCUUCGGGGUGGAAACCGCGUUCGCCUGUGACGAAGCGUGAGUGACGGUAAUGGGUAAAGAAGCACAGGCUAACUACGUG
RNAcentral lists this ribosomal RNA (439 nucleotides) under uncultured bacterium. RNAcentral describes it as "partial 16S ribosomal RNA". It matches the Rfam family "Bacterial small subunit ribosomal RNA", at positions 30 to 507 of the family's 1533-position model. The record is from RNAcentral.